GGAGGUGGGGGUCUGGGGAACAGCAAGGGGGAGUAGUAGGUGUGAGGAGUAAGCAAGAUGAUCAGAAAGUUAGAGAGUUAGCCAGACAGGUAACGGGGUUUAGUGCCUCCUUUUGGGUGCGAAAUCAAAGGCUACCAAGCUUCUUAGCAUCCCAGAAGGAAGAGCUGUGGGCAGUGGGGGGCUGGGCGAGCAAGUGGAAAAAAUGAGAGCAAGCCCUGGAAGGGGGCGGGGCAAGGUGGGAAAGAGCUGAUGCUCGGAAUUCUGAGCCCGGAGGAGGAGCUGAAGAGGGCAGAGGUGAAGAGAAUUUUUUAGGACAGAACACCGGAAGGAUGAAUAAUAGGGUCACUGCAGGGAAGUGAGGGCUGGAGUUACCUGCAGAGGGAGGUUGGAAGGCGGCUUCAGAUUUCACAAGUGGGAGGGCUGUGGGGAGUGGAAGGGAGGUGUGAUUAGCAGUCUCCCCGCGCCACCACGGGAAAAGAGUACACGUGAUGGGCGUGUCUUUCCAGGGGAGUCAGGACCCAGGGCUUCUGUUUAAGCAGAGUCGGAUCCAGCUUAAUCUGUCAAGGACCAUUUAGAGAUUCUAGUUGAGGGCUGCGGGAAAGAGCUCCAGGUCUUCUUCUCACUGAUAAGAAAUCCCCUCGUAAGGAAUGUUCCUCGUGGAGGUUGUUUUAGCUUGGGCACUUGUGGGUCCUAACACACACACCCUCCAACACCCCUCUCUCUGGGGCCUGAUGUGCCUCAGUGUGUCAGGCCACUCCAAAACCAGGCAGCUGCUCUUUCCUUUCCUACCUAGUCCAGAGAUACCAUAGAAAAGGUGGCAACUGAUCUGGCAGCGAGUAGCCAGAAGAAAAGAGCCCUCCUAGGAAAUUCUCUCUGAGGCACUCUCUCGGCUUCCACAGGCCCUUUCAGAGAGGCAGCUGUUGGUCUUGGAAAAGGCCCAAAGUCAACACAAUAAUGACUUCCCCCUCCCGGCCAUCUCCCAGGCCCCUCUGUGUCAUUCAGUAAUUAGCUAAUAAAGCUUACUUUGAUGUGAGGAGAACCUUAUGAAAUCCCCCCAAACCCUGAAACCUGUUGGCAGGAGAAGAAACAUUGGAAGUGCUACCCUGAAUAAAAGGUUACCCUGCUCCGGGGUCCCCAAACCUCGGGGUAAGGUCAGUUGAGGCUGAGGUGCGAGGAGAGGAAAAAAGAAGAUGGUGGGAGAGGAAGAGGAAGAGCACAGUCAGGGUCAGAAGAUGGGACCCUACGAAGAAAGCAUGUCCAAAUCUCCAGCCAAUCCCAGAGAUGCCCCGCCUGCUUAUAGGUACCCCCUUUCCUCACCUGACAGACCAACAUCACCCUAGGCUGUGCUCCUGGGGGGAGCUGGAAACCACAGUUUCUAAUUACUGUUAUCAUCACCAUGGUAGCUGUGGUGAUUAUGAUGGUACUUCUGUAUCCCACAGUGCUUAGCAGCAUUUAAUUAUUGUUAUUCCUAGAGAGAUCACUGCAGAGCUUCCCCCUUGCCAAGGCUGCCGUUGCUCUUGGGACCAGCUGAAUACAACGGGCACCCCACCCCAGCGCUGGUGAUCAGACCCUUUGAACAUGGCAGUGCUGGCUCUGUCUUGUUCUGAAGGCUUUUGAGCCUUACCCGCCUGCUGCACAAACCGCUGUAGCUCCUGAUGUGAGGCCUCUGAGCAGAUCUUCAGCUGAUUCUUCCUCAUCACCAGCAACAGAAGAGCCCUGGAAUUCUGGCCAAGCUGGUGGACGACGGAGCUGAGCAAGGCAGUACCCCAGCCAUCAUGAGCCUGGGAGAACCAGAGGGGAAGAGAAAGGGCUAAGUCUGAGAGGAAGCAAGAACCCUUGGAUUCUUGGAGAUACCUGGUCGAGGCAGAUUAUGAGUUCACUGUCAUCUCCAAGCCAAAGGGAGCCAACCUUGGAAGCUCCCUGCUCUGACCUUUUGCUGGCUGAAGGCCGAAUGCUAAGACUGACCUCAAGAUGAGGCAGCAGUCUGUAUGCUGAUCUCUGCUCCAGUGUCAAUGCACAGGCCUCUCCAGGAAUGAGAGUCUACAUUUACAACUUGAUGACACCUGACGCCUAGAGAGCAAAGCUCAAGGUUAUCAUGUGGCAUCAUGGACAAGCUGCAAUGCCAGUUCUCCCUGGUUGACUACAGUGGCUCCAUGUUCUUCCUGGUCAUCUCUGUGUUGAGCUCUACUUACAACAUUCCCCAGUUCCAGCCCCAGGAAGGAAACAGUUUUCUAUGUGGCUAAUAUGGGCUCCCUACCUCUCUGUCAUCAGACAGAAUUGAGUCCACCAAUUAAAUCCAUCUGCUUGAAA
Mus musculus (house mouse) is the source of this 2310-nucleotide long non-coding RNA. RefSeq annotates it as predicted gene, 30015. Lineage: Eukaryota; Metazoa; Chordata; Mammalia; Rodentia; Muridae. The transcript is spliced from 6 exons. The record is from RefSeq and is a predicted model, not a curated record.